UGCGUAGGCGGAAGAUUAAGUCAGUGAUGAAAUCCUGCAGCUCAACUGUAGAACUGUCAUUGAUACUGAUUUUCUUGAAUACAGUUGAGGUAGGCGGAAUAUGUAAUGUAGCGGUGAAAUGCUUAGAUAUUACAUAGAACACCAAUUGCGAAGGCAGCUUACUAAACUGUGAUUGACGCUGAGGCACGAAAGCGUGGGGAGCGAACAGGAUUAGAUACCCUGGUAGUCC
Molecule: ribosomal RNA, 229 nt
Filed under: uncultured bacterium
Lineage: Bacteria
Description: partial 16S ribosomal RNA
Rfam family: Bacterial small subunit ribosomal RNA
Source: RNAcentral